RNAcentral lists this long non-coding RNA (1246 nucleotides) under Nicotiana benthamiana. Its description in RNAcentral is "long non-coding RNA (NBEN_LNC038850)". Lineage: Eukaryota; Viridiplantae; Streptophyta; Magnoliopsida; Solanales; Solanaceae. The record is from RNAcentral.
GGUGCCAAUCUUAGCUAAAGGUGCAGUAGAUCACUGGAACUGAGGAUACAUAAACAGCUAUUUCAAAUGACUGGAAUUCAAGUGUCCAGACAGUUAUACAUUCCUAACGUUAGGGCAUGAAUGAAAACUACGCAUAACUCGAUUGAUUUUCGACCAAUACACAAACCAGCAUGAAAACUUCACAAACACAUGAGCCAUUUAAACAUCAGUAGACUAGUAAAUAAACCAAUUUUGACAGCCUAUGAUAAAGAAAACAAGCAGAUUUAACCCUCAAACCAUUUGGAAACCAACCCUUAAACGCUUACACACAGAAAAGAAAUCGAUUAUGGCCAGGCACUGAAAGAAGAGGCUGACAAACACACAAUUACACGUUUCGAUGGAUUCUGAAACUAGAGGACCAUAUGAACAUUAGUAAACACACAUAUGAAGUCAUACAAAAAGGCUAAAAAUCUCUUUUACUACUUCAAACUUCAGCCCAUUUUAUAGCUCAUUCAGAGAUCGAUUUACAACGGGAACUAAAGCGAAGAAGAGAAAUGAACCUAGAAUUAAGAGACUGAACUAACACCACACUGAAAUCAACCAAGAAAAAGCAAACAACUGAAAACCAACCUUCGAGCAACAACAGCCUCAAACUUCUCUAGUGACUUCCAUUUUUAAACCAAGAUCCAGAAUCAAAAUGAAGAAGAUGGACUCUAGGGAUUUUAAAAAAAAAAACUUUAAACAAUAAUCGUCAUGAAAUGAAAUUCCAGAACACUCAAUGAAAUUAUUUUUUUGCCCUUUUUUAGUCUCAGAAGUAAAGAACCAAAUAAAUGGAUAAAGAAAUCUCUCAAAUCUUUUCCCAAAAUCCCCUCUCAGGAAAUUUUUCGAAGUCCCUCUGAAAAUCUUUUUUCUUCAAAAUCGGAUCCGGUCCCUUAUGAAAACAAACCCCUGAUGAAUGUGGGGCUCGGAUUGAACGAAUUCAAUCCAACGCCUCACACUCAUCCAAUGAAUCGUCUCUAGGACCUUCCAAUCGUGAGAUAAAUCCAAAUUCUAGCUAGUGAGAAGGGAGGGGAAUAUUGUCGUCAGAAACUGUUAGAAAUGGCAAGAGAAGGGAAGGAGGAACGCGUGGUUAUGGGUUUGAUGUUCACUCGCCAUGGAUUUUGAGUGAUUUGGGGCUUGAUUCGAGUGAAGGAGGCAUGUGAAUAGUGAGGCGUCCGUUUGGUUCUUUAGGAGUUAGGGUUCUGUAUGUAUCUGUGUGUAAAUUUGG